CAGUGUGUCCUGAUGGUUCAAACCCGGUGAACUGUUUUAUCAAUCCUUGUCAGGAACCUAAUACUGGUUGUUACAAUAUACCUGGAGCCACCUGCCGGGCAUACUACUGUGGCGGGUGUUUCCGGCGCUGGUAUUUAGGGUUCUUAGAAGUGACCAGCUUCUGUUAUCCAGGCUGAACUGACCAUCUUUCUUUGUGCUGAAUAUAAGAAUAAUAAAAAUUAUGAGCCUA
This is a long non-coding RNA of Magallana angulata, 229 nucleotides long. RefSeq lists it as uncharacterized. The transcript is spliced from 2 exons. Lineage: Eukaryota; Metazoa; Mollusca; Bivalvia; Ostreida; Ostreidae. The record is from RefSeq and is a predicted model, not a curated record.